AUAUCAAUAAGCGGAGGAAAAGAAACCAACAGGGAUUGCCUCAGUAACGGCGAGUGAAGCGGCAAUAGCUCAAAUUUGAAAUCUGGCUCUUUCAGAGUCCGAGUUGUAAUUUGCAGAGGGCGCUUUGGCGUCGGCAGCAGCCUAAGUUCCUUGGAACAGGUCAUCAUAGAGGGUGAGAAUCCCGUAUGUGGCUGCUUGUCUUCGCCAUGUAAAGCCCCUUCGAUGAGUCGAGUUGUUUGGGAAUGCAGCUCUAAAUGGGAGGUAAAUUUCUUCUAAAGCUAAAUAUUGGCCAGAGACCGAUAGCGCACAAGUA
RNAcentral lists this ribosomal RNA (313 nucleotides) under uncultured Pleosporineae. RNAcentral's name for it is "partial large subunit ribosomal RNA". It matches the Rfam family "Eukaryotic large subunit ribosomal RNA", at positions 40 to 350 of the family's 3401-position model. The record is from RNAcentral. Lineage: Eukaryota; Fungi; Ascomycota; Dothideomycetes; Pleosporales.